This 492-nucleotide long non-coding RNA is filed under the name Brassica napus (rape). Its description in RNAcentral is "long non-coding RNA (BNAP_LNC003499)". Lineage: Eukaryota; Viridiplantae; Streptophyta; Magnoliopsida; Brassicales; Brassicaceae. The record is from RNAcentral.
UUAUGAUAUAAAAUACUUAGGUAUCCUAGAACUCAAAUUCUUAUGUGAAAGUAUUCCACCUUCCGCUGUGAAUCAAUCCUAUUUAUUAAUUCCAAUAUCUCAGUUGCCGCUUGUUGAUAGCGUCGACUGAUGCUAUUAAGUAGUGAGCUAGCGUCGAUCGAUUCUUCCUUAGGCAAGCGUUAGCGAAUUGAUCGAUAGGCUCACUAAUCUUGACUAAAUCAGCUGUCGCAUGUUUCUAGCAAUCUCAAAGAAUCUAUUCUGGUGCAGAACCUACCAUUGUAGUUAUCCACAAUCCUAAUAUCAUGGUUCUGGUUAGCUACUCUAGAACACAAGUAUUACAAGCAAUUCUUUGAAGGAUAUUUAUCACCUUAGCAAGUUUAUAGUUUUGGCUAAUCCUUCAUAACCCUAAUUAAACCCUAAAUCGAACAAGUGAAUUACUUAGAUCAAACAAGACAUGAUAUAAAUCUUAAUAAACUGCGUAGAUAAGAAUUA